UGGGGAAUCUUGGACAAUGGGCGCAAGCCUGAUCCAGCCAUGCCGCGUGAGUGACGAAGGCCCUAGGGUCGUAAAGCUCUUUCGCCAGGGAAGAUAAUGACGGUACCUGGUAAAGAAACCCCGGCUAACUCCGUGCCAGCAGCCGCGGUAAUACGGAGGGGGUUAGCGUUGUUCGGAAUUACUGGGCGUAAAGCGCGCGUAGGCGGACUGUUAAGUCGGGGGUGAAAUCCCGGGGCUCAACCCCGGAACUGCCUUCGAUACUGGCAGUCUAGAGUUCGAGAGAGGUGAGUGGAAUUCCGAGUGUAGAGGUGAAAUUCGUAGAUAUUCGGAGGAACACCAGUGGCGAAGGCGGCUCACUGGCUCGAUACUGACGCUGAGGUGCGAAAGUGUGGGGAGCAAACAGGAUUAGAUACCCCCGUAGUCC
RNAcentral lists this ribosomal RNA (424 nucleotides) under uncultured prokaryote. Its description in RNAcentral is "bacterial SSU rRNA". It matches the Rfam family "Bacterial small subunit ribosomal RNA", at positions 355 to 796 of the family's 1533-position model. The record is from RNAcentral.